RNAcentral lists this ribosomal RNA (621 nucleotides) under Triticum aestivum (bread wheat). Its description in RNAcentral is "partial small subunit ribosomal RNA". The record is from RNAcentral. Lineage: Eukaryota; Viridiplantae; Streptophyta; Magnoliopsida; Poales; Poaceae.
AUGAAAGGAGGCAAGGCGAUGGGCCCUGAUUGUAUCCCCAUUGAGGUGUGGAAAGGUCUCGGGGACAUAGCGAUAGUAUGGCUAACCAAGCUUUUCAACCUCAUUUUUCGGGCAAACAAGAUGCCAGAAGAAUGGAGACGGAGUAUAUUAGUACCAAUCUUCAAGAACAAGGGGGAUGUUCAGAGUUGUACUAAUUACCAUGGAAUUAAGCUGAUGAGCCAUACAAUGAAGCUAUGGGAGAGAGUCAUUGAGCACCGCUUAAGAAGAAUGACAAGCGUGACCAAAAAUCAGUUUGGUUUCAUGCUUGGGAGGUCGACCAUGGAAGCCAUUUUCUUGGUACGACAACUUAUGGAGAGAUAUAGGGAGCAAAAGAAGGACUUGCAUAUGGUGUUCAUUGACUUGGAGAAGGCCUAUGAUAAGAUACCGCGGAAUGUCAUGUGGUGGGCCUUGGAGAAACACAAAGUCCCAGCAAAGUACAUUACCCUCAUCAAGGACAUGUACGAUAAUGUUGUGACAAGUGUUCGAACAAGUGAUGUCGACAUUGAUGACUUCCCGAUUAAGAUAGGACUGCAUCAGGGGUUAGCUUUGAGCCCUUAUCUUUUUUGCAUUGGUGAUGGAUGA